UACAGAGGGUGCAAGCGUUAAUCGGAGUUACUGGGCGUAAAGGGCGCGUAGGCGGUUAUUUAAGUGAGAUGUGAAAUCCCUGGGCUUAACCUAGGAACUGCAUCUCAUACUGGAUGACUUGAGUAUUGUAGAGGGUAGUGGAAUUUCCGGUGUAGCGGUGAAAUGCGUAGAGAUCGGAAGGAACACCAGUGGCGAAGGCGGCUACCUGGACAAAUACUGACGCUGAGGUGCGAAAGCGUGGGGAGCAAACAGG
RNAcentral lists this ribosomal RNA (253 nucleotides) under uncultured bacterium. RNAcentral's name for it is "partial 16S ribosomal RNA". It matches the Rfam family "Bacterial small subunit ribosomal RNA", at positions 524 to 776 of the family's 1533-position model. The record is from RNAcentral.